UCGGAUCGCAGGCUGCAACCCGCCUGCGUGAAGUUGGAAUCGCUAGUAAUCGCGGAUCAGCAUGCCGCGGUGAAUACGUUCCCGGGCCUUGUACACACCGCCCGUCACACCAUGAGAGUCGGGAACACCCGAAGUCCGUAGCCUAACUUUAACGAGGGGGCGCGGCCGAAGGUGGGUUCGAUAAUUGGGGUGAAGUCGUAACAAGGUAAC
RNAcentral lists this ribosomal RNA (210 nucleotides) under uncultured bacterium. RNAcentral describes it as "partial 16S ribosomal RNA". It matches the Rfam family "Bacterial small subunit ribosomal RNA", at positions 1293 to 1500 of the family's 1533-position model. The record is from RNAcentral.